AGCGAACGCUGGCGGCAGGCCUAACACAUGCAAGUCGAACGAACCUUUCGGGGUUAGUGGCGGACGGGUGAGUAACACGUGGGAACGUGCCUUUAGGUUCGGAAUAACUCAGGGAAACUUGUGCUAAUACCGAAUGUGCCCUUCGGGGGAAAGAUUUAUCGCCUUUAGAGCGGCCCGCGUCUGAUUAGCUAGUUGGUUGAGGUAAUGGCUCACCAAGGCGACGAUCAGUAGCUGGUCUGAGAGGAUGAUCAGCCACAUUGGGACUGAGACACGGCCCAAACACAGAGGGGGGGCAGGAGGGAGGAGGCUGAAGCAAGGGAGGAGAGCCUGAGGGAGCCAUGGGGGGUGAUGGAGAAAUGUUGGAGGUUGGUAAAAUUCUUUACCCGGGGAGAAGAAGGAGGGGACCAGGAGAAGAACCCCGGGCAAACUCCGUGCCAGCGUCGGCGGGAGAAUAGGAAGAGCCUGCGUCCGACC
RNAcentral lists this ribosomal RNA (474 nucleotides) under uncultured bacterium. RNAcentral's name for it is "partial 16S ribosomal RNA". It matches the Rfam family "Bacterial small subunit ribosomal RNA", at positions 33 to 541 of the family's 1533-position model. The record is from RNAcentral.